RNAcentral lists this long non-coding RNA (284 nucleotides) under Mytilus galloprovincialis (Mediterranean mussel). The record is from RNAcentral. Lineage: Eukaryota; Metazoa; Mollusca; Bivalvia; Mytilida; Mytilidae.
GCAUUAUUGCCAAAAGUGACUGUUUAUUAAAAAUUUCAUAUUUUCUGUAAUGGUCCUGUUUUUUUCUGUAAUGGCCCUGUUUUUCUGUAAUGGCCCUGUUUUUCUGUAAUGGCCCUGUUUUUUCUGUAAUGGCCCUGUUUUUCUGUAAUGGCCCUGUAUUAAUGCCCAGUUUGUCUGUAUUAAGCCUUAUUAGGGUUUUUAAUAAAGUUAAUAAAAACUGUUGUAAAGAGUAUAAUACCUUUUUGUAUUUUAUUUAAUUUAGUAACCAGCAACCAACAUUAAAG